AAUGUAGUGACCAGGCAAUUUUAUAGAAUAAAACUAGUAUUUCCCCAGAUAGGAAUUUGCUACAAAUUUAUAUACAUGUAUAAAAGGGAUUAUUUGAUUUAGGAAACUAACCUUUUAGACUAUUGCUUCUUGUCUUCAAGUAUAUUUAAUUAAAUUUCUUCUCUACUUCUGGAGCACGUUGACCGGAAGUAGAUGGACAUACGGCAUUUUCUAUUCAUUAAAUCUAGUGGUCAACUUAAGCCAAUGCUGUCCUUGGGUUCAAAGUUAAUUCGAAGAUCUCGGUGUUUAUCUCCUCACUUACGUAAUAAACUUGUUGUUUUUCACGGUGUUUGAUUCCAUUGUUUUAAAAAGUAUAAAUACUGGAGUGUUUGCUACAUCUUAGGAGUUGCUGCAUUGAGCCGGCUUGCAUCAAGCCACCCUCAAACCCUCCAGACUGUAUCAGUCUAAUUGGGCCUAACACGUUUUUGUGUACAAACACUCCAGUGUCCUUGACCUUUAAGGUAUGUAAUUAUUGAUAUUUAAAUGUGAGGGACCGUCUCCGGAUACAUAGGUAUGCUUUUCCGGCGCUAACUUUAAAUAAAGUCCGUUUAACAUAGAAAUAGGUGGUUAUUAUUAAUUUAAGGAUAAGUUGGGUGGAAUUAUAUUCAUAAAGUGAAUUUGUGGAUAAAUAAAGUUUAACAUACUUAAUAGCUCCUUUUUAAGAAAGGCUAUUGGUCAGAACAGUUAUCUGUUGUAUUUAUUGUUAUUUUACUAUUGUUGAAUUUAUAUGCAAUUUGUUGAACUUUACUGAUGUUAUUGGUGUAAUAAAUAUUAUAGUGGGAG
RNAcentral lists this long non-coding RNA (822 nucleotides) under Mytilus galloprovincialis (Mediterranean mussel). Lineage: Eukaryota; Metazoa; Mollusca; Bivalvia; Mytilida; Mytilidae. The record is from RNAcentral.